Molecule: ribosomal RNA, 503 nt
Filed under: uncultured bacterium
Lineage: Bacteria
Description: partial 16S ribosomal RNA
Rfam family: Bacterial small subunit ribosomal RNA
Source: RNAcentral
AUUGAACGCUGGCGGCAGGCUUAACACAUGCAAGUCGAGCGGGGUGAUGGCGCUUGCACUAUCACUUAGCGGCGGACGGGUGAGUAAUGCUUAGGAAUCUGCCUAUUAGUGGGGGACAACAUCUCGAAAGGGAUGCUAAUACCGCAUACGUCCUACGGGAGAAAGCAGGGGAUCACUUGUGACCUUGCGCUAAUAGAUGAGCCUAAGUCGGAUUAGCUAGUUGGUGGGGUAAGGGCCGACCAAGGCGACGAUCUGUAGCGGGUCUGAGAGGAUGAUCCGCCACACUGGGACUGCGACACGGCCCAGACUCCUACGGGAGGCAGCAAUGGGGAAUAUUGACCAAUGGGGGGAACCCUGAUCCAGCCAUGCCGCGGGUGUGAAGAAGGCCUUAUGGUUGUAAAGCACUUUAAGCGAGGAGGAGGCUCUUUUGGUUAAUACCCAAGAUGAGUGGACGUUACUCGCAGAAUAAGCACCGGCUAACUCUGUGCCAGCCGCCGCGGUAA